Long non-coding RNA from Stegodyphus dumicola, 586 nucleotides. RefSeq lists it as uncharacterized. Lineage: Eukaryota; Metazoa; Arthropoda; Arachnida; Araneae; Eresidae. The record is from RefSeq and is a predicted model, not a curated record.
CCUCUCUAUGCCGGCGGGCACGUGCUUGCUGAGUGGUUACUUUGCUUUCCAGAGAAAUCGCGAUAGUAAAUUUCUGAGACGCGCUCAGAUUCAAUAUAGCUCGCUCGACGUGCGAGGAUUUUUAACAUCUACUGAUUUAAAAUUGAAAAUUCAUUGCCUGCAAUUAUUAUUAUUAAAAUGAUGUUCUGAUAUUAAUUCCUUAUUAUAGAGUAGUAAUGAACAAUUUAAAAAAGUUUUGUAUAAUUUUCUCGGAGAAACUUUGUUGAAGGUUUGAUGUAAAUUUCAAAACUUUGUGAAAUUAGAAUUUAGGCUUUAUUUGCAAAAUAAAAAGUGAAGUUGUUGGGAACUGUGGAUUUGGACGUAGGACUACUUGCCUAACGAGAGGGAUACCUUCGUGAAGGAAUUUGUAAAUAAACUGGCUCAUAUUUAUAUUAAACCACGAAAGCUUCCACGCAGCCAGUCCAUUCGAAAGGACUCGAAUCCCCAUCGAACCACCAAUGCUCAAACGCUGAAUGACACACUGCACCUUCUGCUGUAAGGAGAAUCAAUAAUGAUAUUUAAUAAUAAAAGGAAAUACAUAACAUAA